Molecule: transfer RNA, 72 nt
Filed under: Camelus ferus (Wild Bactrian camel)
Lineage: Eukaryota; Metazoa; Chordata; Mammalia; Artiodactyla; Camelidae
Rfam family: tRNA
About the family: Transfer RNA (tRNA) molecules are approximately 80 nucleotides in length. Their secondary structure includes four short double-helical elements and three loops (D, anti-codon, and T loops).
Source: Rfam by way of RNAcentral
GGGGGUAUAUCUCAGUGGUAGAGUGCACGCUUAGCAUGCACAAGGUCUUGGGUUCAAUCCCCACUAACUCCC